GCGCCGGUGGUGUAAGGCGAACAUCGCUGCCCGGAAAGCAGAAGAAGCGGGUUCGAGUCCCGCCUGGCGCA
Heligmosomoides polygyrus is the source of this 71-nucleotide non-coding RNA. The record is from Rfam. NCBI's taxonomy places the organism in Eukaryota, Metazoa, Nematoda, Chromadorea, Rhabditida, Heligmosomidae.